GAAAGGACUAAGACAUACACAUGUGCUCACACACACAUCCUUUUGGUUCUGUUUCUCUGGAGAACUUCGAUGAAUACAAAUAAUAGUGUUUAAACUGUCAGGCUCCGCACAGUGGCUCACAUCUGUAAUCUCAGCACUUUGGGAGGCCGAGGUGGGUGGAUCACUUGAGUCCAGGAGUUUAAGACCAGCCUGGGUAACAUAUCAAGACCCCAUCUCUAAAAAAAUACAAAAAAUUAGCUGGGUAUGGUGGCAUGUGCCUGUAGUCCUAGCUAUUCAGGAGGCUGAGGUGGGAGAAUCACCUGAGCCCAAGAGGUUGAGGCUGCAGUGAACCAUGAUCACACCACUGUACUCCAGCCUGGGUGACAGAGUAAGACCCUGUCUCAAAAACAAAAACAGAAAAAAACAGUCAGUUAUUCCCAAAUUGCUUUAUAGAUUCAAUGCAAUCCCAAUCAAAAUCCUAGCAGGCUUUUGUAUAGAAAUUUAUAAAAUUUCUACAAAAUUAUUAUUUUAUGGAAAUUAUUCUAAAAUUUAUAAGAAAAUACUAAAGAUCUUAAAUAGCUAGGAAAAAAACGAGAAGAAAAUACCAUUACAUAAUUUAGAUGCCCUGAUUUCAAGACUUAAUAGUAGUGUUUACUUAAAAUCACAAAAUGUGUAAGUUUGGAAAGGAUAACUUUAUUUCUUAUAAAGGGUUGCAACCUGAAGACUUGGAGGCGUAGCCUCUGGCAGAGACUGAAAGCAGGCAUUUCGAGGGAGGGAGUGUGUUACAGGAGUCUCAUGCUUGGUCAAUUGGAUAGACAUACAUAUUUAACAGGUUACAGGAAGGGCUAUGAAUAUGCAUGAGGGGACUUUGCACGCAUGCAUAGUAAGCAAACGUGUUAUGUAUGUCCCAUGUUCACUUUGGGGGGAAACUUAACAUUAAAAUGCAGUAAAAUUAGGCUGUGCACAUCAAAAGUUAAAACGAAGGACACCCACGUGCUCUGUGUGCAGCCUCCGUGGACACGCCAGAGCCAGUCCGUGGUCAGCAGUCUCUUAU
RNAcentral lists this long non-coding RNA (1033 nucleotides) under Homo sapiens (human). RNAcentral's name for it is "HSALNT0031228". The record is from RNAcentral. Lineage: Eukaryota; Metazoa; Chordata; Mammalia; Primates; Hominidae.